GAUGAACGCUGGCGGCGUGCUUAACACAUGCAAGUCGAACGGAAAGGCUCCUGCUUGCAGGGGUACUCGAGUGGCGAACGGGUGAGUAACACGUGGGUGAUCUGCCCUGCACUUCGGGAUAAGCCUGGGAAACUGGGUCUAAUACCGGAUAGGACGAUGGUUUGGAUGCCAUUGUGGAAAGUUUUUUCGGUGUGGGAUGAGCUCGCGGCCUAUCAGCUUGUUGGUGGGGUAAUGGCCUACCAAGGCGUCGACGGGUAGCCGGCCUGAGAGGGUGUACGGCCACAUUGGGACUGAGAUACGGCCCAGACUCCUACGGGAGGCAGCAGUGGGGAAUAUUGCACAAUGGGCGCAAGCCUGAUGCAGCGACGCCGCGUGGGGGAUGACGGCCUUCGGGUUGUAAACUCCUUCCGCUAGGGACGAAGCGCAAGUGACGGUACCUGGAGAAGAAGCACCGGCUAACUACGUG
Molecule: ribosomal RNA, 466 nt
Filed under: uncultured bacterium
Lineage: Bacteria
Description: partial 16S ribosomal RNA
Rfam family: Bacterial small subunit ribosomal RNA
Source: RNAcentral